UGGGGAAUUUUGGACAAUGGGGGCAACCCUGAACCAGCCAUGCCGCGUGCAGGAAGAAGGCCCUAUGGGUCGUAAACUGCUUUUGAACAAGAGAAAACCCCGGUACGUGUACUGGGUUGAUAGUAUUGUUAGAAUAAGCAUCGGCUAACUUCGUGCCAGCAGCCGCGGUAAGACGAAGGAUGCAAGCGUUAUCCGGAUUCAUUGGGUUUAAAGGGUGCGUAGGCGGACUGAUAAGUCAGUGGUGAAAUCUCUCGGCUUAACCGAGAAACUGCCAUUGAUACUGUUAGUCUAGAGUACAGAUGAUGUGGGCGGAAUAUGACAUGUAGUGGUGAAAUACUUAGAUAUGUCAUAGAACACCGAUUGCGAAGGCAGCUCACAAAACUGUAACUGACGCUGAGGCACGAAAGUGCGGGGAUCAAACAGGAUUAGAUACCCCCGUAGUCCCUGAGCGGGCUGGCAAGGCGCAU
This 467-nucleotide ribosomal RNA is filed under the name uncultured bacterium. RNAcentral describes it as "bacterial SSU rRNA". It matches the Rfam family "Bacterial small subunit ribosomal RNA", at positions 355 to 825 of the family's 1533-position model. The record is from RNAcentral.